This is a small nucleolar RNA of Mustela putorius furo (domestic ferret), 135 nucleotides long. The record is from Ensembl. NCBI's taxonomy places the organism in Eukaryota, Metazoa, Chordata, Mammalia, Carnivora, Mustelidae.
ACAGGGAUGGAUUGAUGGUGGGCCUUUCUCUGGGGGCCUCUCAUAGUAUACCCAUGCUAGGGGAGUAUGCAGCCCUGACCCACUGCCCAGCUUCUUCACUGAUGAGCUGUGAGCACUGAAGGGAAUUUUGAAGUG